Molecule: long non-coding RNA, 1054 nt
Organism: Perognathus longimembris pacificus (Pacific pocket mouse)
Lineage: Eukaryota; Metazoa; Chordata; Mammalia; Rodentia; Heteromyidae
Exons: 4
Source: RefSeq, a predicted model, not a curated record
GUCUCCUUCCUUGGAAGAUCUGCUCUGCUCACCAGUUCCCUCUCUGGGAGAGAAUACAGUCCUUGAGAGAAAAUGACAGAGAGACUCCAUAGCAUAGCAAGGCCUCAACUCCAGGAUUCCAAUGAAUAUUUAAGACACAGAUAAAGAGCUCCAGUCACCAAUAAAUAGUAUCUUCAAAGCUAAAGCUUCUCCGUUUACCAGAUUAUCAGAGUAAUGUAAGAACUUGAAAAAAAAAAAGUCAUUCCAUGAGCUUCCUCCCAGGAAAUUCAACUCAGAGAAUCCAGCAGACUUCUGUUCCUUCCAGUGUACUUUGAAUAUUCAUGAACAAUGGCAUCAUGUGAUGACAAGAUUUAUUUUCCUGUAAAGGAGAAAAACCACUUCUGUUCAAAAAAUGGCGAACCUGAAGAACUGGGCUUGGGAAAAGGAUCAUAGAUUGGAACACAGAGGAUGGAUCUUGUGUGAAGGACUGGGAGAGAAUGUCUUGCUUAUACUUUUGCGUUAACAAAUGGAGAAGCUGAGAGUCAGAAAGGAGGAAGAGCUUGUCCAAGAUCACAUGGGAAGUGAAUGUUGAUGAAUUCUUAACCCAGAGCUCUGCCUACAGUGUAUCUGUAAAUAAUUUCUUGGAUAGACCUAGAAAAAAUUGAGUUAAGUGAAGUAAAUCAGUCCCAGAGAGCCAAAGAAUGCAUUUUUGUUCUCAUAUGUGUAAGCUAGAACUAAUUUAUAAAUGUACAAAUAAAGACAUAUAGGAUUGUAUGCAAGUGAGCACCCACAUAUUAACUGAAGUUUGGGAUUUACAGGGAAGAAUUUAAAUGGUGUAAUUCCUUAAAAAACAAAUUCACAGUUGAACAAAAUGAACCCCAGGAAACAAGUUCUUGAGAGGCAUGUGGACAGGGGCAAAUGAGGUCAAAGGGAGAGCCUAGAUGAAUGAAGAGAUGCAGACAAAAGAAUGAAGUCAUAAUAUUCAAUUCAUAUACUAUAAAAUUAAGAAAAUUGAGAGGAGGGGUUGUGUUAAGAGGUUAUGGUGGAAAAUGACAAAAGGUGUGAUAUUGAUCAA